GAUGAACGCUAGCUACAGGCUUAACACAUGCAAGUCGAGGGGAAACGACAUCGAAAGCUUGCUUUUGAUGGGCGUCGACCGGCGCACGGGUGAGUAACGCGUAUCCAACCUGCCCACCACUUGGGGAUAACCUUGCGAAAGUAAGACUAAUACCCAAUGACGUCUCUAGAAGACAUCUGAAAGAGAUUAAAGAUUUAUCGGUGAUGGAUGGGGAUGCGUCUGAUUAGCUUGUUGGCGGGGUAACGGCCCACCAAGGCGACGAUCAGUAGGGGUUAUGAGAGGAAGGACCCCCACAUUGGAACUGAAACACGGUCCAAACUCCUACGGGAGGCAGCAGUGAGGAAUAUUGGUCAAUGGGCGAGAGCCUGAACCAGCCAAGUAGCGUGCAGGAUGACGGCCCUAUGGGUUGUAAACUGCUUUUAUAAGGGAAUAAAGUGAGUCUCGUGAGACUUUUUGCAUGUACCUUAUGAAUAAGGACCGGCUAAUUCCGUGCCAGCCGCCGCGGUAA
RNAcentral lists this ribosomal RNA (508 nucleotides) under uncultured bacterium. RNAcentral's name for it is "partial 16S ribosomal RNA". It matches the Rfam family "Bacterial small subunit ribosomal RNA", at positions 28 to 523 of the family's 1533-position model. The record is from RNAcentral.